AUUGAACGCUGGCGGCAUGCCUUACACAUGCAAGUCGAACGGUAACAGGUUAAGCUGACGGGUGGCGAACGGGGGAGUAAUGUAUCGGAACGUGCCCAGUCGUGGGGGAUAACUGCUCGAAAGAGCAGCUAAUACCGCAUACGACCCGAGGGUGAAAGCGGGGGGUCGCAAGACCUCGCGCGAUUGGAGCGGCCGCUAUCAGAUUAGGUAGUUGGUGAGGUAAAGGCGCACCAAGCCGACGAUCUGUAGCUGGUCUGAGAGGACGACCAGCCACACUGGGACUGAGACACGGCCCAGACUCCUACGGGAGGCAGCAGUGGGGAAUUUUGGACAAUGGGCGCAAGCCUGAUCCAGCCAUGCCGCGUGCGGGAAGAAGGCCUUCGGGUUGUAAACCGCUUUUGUCAGGGAAGAAAAGGUUCUGGCUAAUACCUGGGACUCAUGACGGUACCUGAAGAAUAAGCACCGGCUAACUACGUG
This 477-nucleotide ribosomal RNA is filed under the name uncultured bacterium. RNAcentral's name for it is "partial 16S ribosomal RNA". It matches the Rfam family "Bacterial small subunit ribosomal RNA", at positions 29 to 507 of the family's 1533-position model. The record is from RNAcentral.